This 515-nucleotide ribosomal RNA is filed under the name uncultured bacterium. RNAcentral describes it as "partial 16S ribosomal RNA". It matches the Rfam family "Bacterial small subunit ribosomal RNA", at positions 28 to 523 of the family's 1533-position model. The record is from RNAcentral.
GAUGAACGCUGGCGGCGUGCCUAAUACAUGCAAGUCGAGCGAAUGGAUUAAGAGCUUGCUCUUAUGAAGUUAGCGGCGGACGGGUGAGUAACACGUGGGUAACUUGCCCAUAAGACUGGGAUAACUCCGGGAAACCGGGGCUAAUACCGGAUAACAUUUUGAACCGCAUGGUUCGAAAUUGAAAGGCGGCUUCGGCUGUCACUUAUGGAUGGACUCGCGUCGCAUUAGCUAGUUGGUGAGGUAACGGCUCACCAAGGCAACGAUGCGUAGCCGACCUGAGGAGGUGGUCGGCCACGCUGGGACUGAGACACGGCCCAGACUCCUACGGGAGGCAGCAGUAGGGAAUCUUCCGCAAUGGACGAAAGUCUGACGGAGCAACGCCGCGUGAGUGAUGAAGGCUUUCGGGUCGUAAAACUCUGUUGUUAGGGAAGAACAAGUGCUAGUUGAAUAAGCUGGCACCUUGACGGUACCUAACCAGAAAGCCACGGCUAACUACGUGCCAGCCGCCGCCGUAA